AUGCAGGCGAUUAUAAAAAGUCAGGAUCUAUUAUCUUACAGAGAUAAUGUAGGUGAUGCCACAAUGCUAGAACAGAAACAAGGGAAGCAACCGACCAAUUAUCGAACACAAUCAGGCAUUUCAGGAUAUGAGGUGUACACAGAUGCUGCAUGGAAAAUAAGUGCAGACUCUUUAUCUACAACAAUAGCUAAAGUAGGGAUUGGAAUCUUCAUCCAACCAGCAGGGGAACAUAAAAAGGAGGAGUUUACAUAUCAGCAGCAGGUGCACAAGUCAACUCUCCCCUCAAAGCAGAAGCCCUUGCACUCAAGGUUGCUGCACAGAUUGCCACAGCUUUGA
RNAcentral lists this ribosomal RNA (336 nucleotides) under Triticum aestivum (bread wheat). RNAcentral's name for it is "partial small subunit ribosomal RNA". The record is from RNAcentral. Lineage: Eukaryota; Viridiplantae; Streptophyta; Magnoliopsida; Poales; Poaceae.